RNAcentral lists this ribosomal RNA (211 nucleotides) under uncultured bacterium. RNAcentral describes it as "partial 16S ribosomal RNA". It matches the Rfam family "Bacterial small subunit ribosomal RNA", at positions 1292 to 1500 of the family's 1533-position model. The record is from RNAcentral.
UUCGGAUUGUAGUCUGCAACUCGACUACAUGAAGCUGGAAUCGCUAGUAAUCGCGAAUCAGCAUGUCGCGGUGAAUACGUUCCCGGGUCUUGUACACACCGCCCGUCACACCAUGGGAGUUGGUAACGCCCGAAGCCAGUGACCCAACCCGCGAGGGAGGGAGCUGUCGAAGGUGGGACCGAUAACUGGGGUGAAGUCGUAACAAGGUAUC